UCGGCCUAAAGGUUUUUCUGUACACUGUGAACUAUAACCUAAAUGGAACUGUAAACAGACCAGGCUCACCUGGUCAGUAUUGUACCAUAGUUGGACCUGCAUCUACUGCAGCUCCUGCUUUAUUCUCCUUCAGCCUCCCCAACUCCUGGACCAGACGUGUAUUUCACUUUAUGAUGAAAAAACACUGGUCUUCCCUGCAGGACACACCCAUCAUCAAAGUUGGAGACUUGGAAGUGGUGAGAAAUAAGGGAAGGUUCCAAUCCAUCUUUCAUGAGUUUCAGCUCAGCCUCAGAGGUAUUGGAAGAGGCAAUCCACCAUGCGCUGUGAGCAUGCCUUUGUGUUCUUGUUGAAUGUGCCAAGAAUUUAAGCCUCCUUUUAUUUGGUCAUUUCUCAAGGUUGUGUUUAUAGCAAGAAUGCUGAAGAUGACGUAUCUCCCACUGUGACAAAGAACAAACUACUUACUGCUUAUUACAGAAGUAAUGGAUUCUCCAAACUCAGUGUUUCUCAGCUGUGAUACAGAUAUGCUGCAUGUGCAGUAUCCAUCUGAGAUUUUCUGUAAAGCCCCUGUGGGACUUGGGGAGCAAAGGGGACUAUGACAAGCAUGAUGUUCAUGCCAUUUGCUGUAUUGAAUGAAGUGAACUGUUUCAUCUGUGACCCCGAAGAAUCUUCAAAAUUUAGAUACUUCUUUAUUUAUAAGUUUGAAUUUUGUCAGUUGUUUUGGUCUCUUCCUGAGAGAAAAAUAGAAUUCUUAGUUUGAUUCUCUCUUCUCUGUCCUUAUUGGUUUUUAUUUCUUUAUCAUUAUUCUCUGUGCUUUAAAAUAUGUCUCAGUUUUGUCCUCUCUCUCAUGUUCUCAGGGUUUUCUAAUGUUAAUUCAGAUCUUUUCUUUUUUCAACAUGAAUUACAAGUGUUAUCAAGUAUUUGUUUUUUCUGUAAUCCUCUUAUUUUGCUUCUUUCCUUUCUUGACAUUUUAUUUCAGGAUGUUAUUUCCUUAAACCCAUUGUACCUCUUUCAUGGAGUACAUGAAGUCUGACCUCUUAGAAAAGAUGCCAAGAAGAUUCAUCACGUUUCUUUUGCUUAUACGGUUACUAUUUUCAGAAGACUUCCAAGUCUUAUUCCUGCUAACAUAGGAAGUUCCCUCAAGGAGAAAUUAAG
This 1152-nucleotide long non-coding RNA is filed under the name Homo sapiens (human). Its description in RNAcentral is "HSALNT0077078". The record is from RNAcentral. Lineage: Eukaryota; Metazoa; Chordata; Mammalia; Primates; Hominidae.